Molecule: non-coding RNA, 66 nt
Organism: Nematostella vectensis (starlet sea anemone)
Lineage: Eukaryota; Metazoa; Cnidaria; Anthozoa; Actiniaria; Edwardsiidae
Source: Rfam
CUGGCUAAACAUUCAAACAUGUUUGUCAAACAUUGCGUUUGAUGCAAAUGUUUGUACUUUUAGCCA